GAUGAACGCUGGCGGCGUGCUUAACACAUGCAAGUCGAACGAGAAGUGAAGACGGAAACCUUCGGGCGGAAGGCUUUAUUUCGAGUGGCGGACGGGUGAGUAACGCGUGGGUAACCUGCCUCAUACAGGGGGAUAACAGUUGGAAACGACUGUUAAUACCGCAUCAGACCACAGCACCGCAUGGUGCGGGGUUGAAAACUCCGGUGGUAUGAGAUGGACCCGCGUUCGAUUAGCCAGUUGGCGGGGUAACGGCCCACCAAAGCGACGAUCGAUAGCCGAAGUGAGAGGAUGACCGGACACACUGGGACUGAGACACGGCCGAAACUCCUACGGGAGGCAGCAGUGGGGAAUAGUGCACAAUGGGGGAAACGCUGAUGCAGCGACGCCGCGUGAGUGAAGAAGUAUUUCGGUAUGUAAAGCUCUAUCAGCAGGGAAGAAAAUGACGGUACCUGAGUAAGAAGCCCCGGCUAACUACGUG
Molecule: ribosomal RNA, 478 nt
Filed under: uncultured bacterium
Lineage: Bacteria
Description: partial 16S ribosomal RNA
Rfam family: Bacterial small subunit ribosomal RNA
Source: RNAcentral